This 181-nucleotide long non-coding RNA is filed under the name Athene cunicularia (burrowing owl). RNAcentral describes it as "lncRNA (ENSACUG00000007963.1)". Lineage: Eukaryota; Metazoa; Chordata; Aves; Strigiformes; Strigidae. The record is from RNAcentral.
GAGAAGAUUGUUUUACACAGGCGCUCCACCCAUACUGGCAGAGAAACAGGGCUUAUUGGCACAGGGAAGGACUAGUUGGUGGUCAGCUCUCCUUGGAGCAAGUCUGACUGAAAAGGCUGGAAGCACUUGCGGAGGUCUUUAAAUUCAGCAGAUGAAAAUCUCUUUCCUCCAGAAAAUACAC